Molecule: long non-coding RNA, 437 nt
Organism: Salvia splendens (bonfire salvia)
Lineage: Eukaryota; Viridiplantae; Streptophyta; Magnoliopsida; Lamiales; Lamiaceae
Exons: 2
Source: RefSeq, a predicted model, not a curated record
AGAUUUGAUAAUGAACCAUAAUGAUUAAAGAUUUAUGGAUUUAGAAAGAAGGAAGUAAAAAUAUGUACAUGCUUAGGAAUGCAUACACGCUAAAUAAAUAAUUACUUAAGCUUAAAUUAACUAUAUUAUUUGUUUAUGAAGGGGCGUCGUCGCACGACAAGUAAUCUCAAGUCGAAGGACAUUCAUUUGAAAGUUUAAGCAAACGAGGUUGAUCGUGAUCGGAGCAGCGAAGGUGUUGGGAGAGAAUAUUAAAUAAGUAGCUAGGUAGCUGAUUUAAUAUGUCUACAUACAUAUUACUUCGUCUUGGUACCUUCCGCUGCAAGUUUAAGAAUCAUUUUAGAAAAGACUAUGCACUCAGUUAAUUACUUUGAUUUCGAUAAGGUUGUACCCUUAUUCUAUGAGACAAUUGUUUCCUUGAUUUGAGUACUUAUUUAUGA